RNAcentral lists this ribosomal RNA (398 nucleotides) under uncultured bacterium. RNAcentral's name for it is "partial 16S ribosomal RNA". It matches the Rfam family "Bacterial small subunit ribosomal RNA", at positions 523 to 918 of the family's 1533-position model. The record is from RNAcentral.
AUACGUAGGGUGCGAGCGUUGUCCGGAAUUACUGGGCGUAAGGAGCUCGUAGGUGGUUUGUCGCGUCGUCUGUGAAAUUCCGGGGCUUAACUCCGGGCGUGCAGGCGAUACGGGCAUAACUUGAGUACUGUAGGGGAGACUGGAAUUCCUGGUGUAGCGGUGAAAUGCGCAGAUAUCAGGAGGAACACCGGUGGCGAAGGCGGGUCUCUGGGCAGUAACUGACGCUGAGGAGCGAAAGCAUGGGUAGCGAACAGGAUUAGAUACCCUGGUAGUCCAUGCCGUAAACGGUGGGCGCUAGGUGUAGGGGUCUUCCACGACUUCUGUGCCGUAGCUAACGCAUUAAGCGCCCCGCCUGGGGAGUACGGCCGCAAGGCUAAAACUCAAAUGAAUUGACGGGG